Branchiostoma floridae (Florida lancelet) is the source of this 334-nucleotide long non-coding RNA. RefSeq lists it as uncharacterized. The record is from RefSeq and is a predicted model, not a curated record. NCBI's taxonomy places the organism in Eukaryota, Metazoa, Chordata, Leptocardii, Amphioxiformes, Branchiostomatidae. The transcript is spliced from 3 exons.
GGCCCACAGACAUUACUCCAACACCGACUCCUUCAGCAAGGGCUCUGACAUCUGGAAAGAACCGGGAGUACACAAGCUCCACGCCAGAGCCGAGUUCACCAUACACUACGUCUGUGUCCGGAUCUACUGGAUCUAACAGUAAAACGCGGCACUAUUUAUCCACCGUUCAGCACUAUUUAUCUACAAGCAAGUUCACAGACCCAGCGUCAAUAGGUCCAUCGAAACCAGCACUUGGACGACCUUAUAACAAAACAGCCCUUAUCGCCAUUGUUGUAACGGUCUGUUUGGUUGCACUACUCGGAAUCGUCGCUGCAGCGCUGAUGUAUUAUUGCAG